This is a long non-coding RNA of Anneissia japonica, 225 nucleotides long. RefSeq lists it as uncharacterized. The transcript is spliced from 2 exons. Lineage: Eukaryota; Metazoa; Echinodermata; Crinoidea; Comatulida; Comatulidae. The record is from RefSeq and is a predicted model, not a curated record.
AGUUUGAUCAUUCUUGCUUGCAGGCCCAUGUUAACAGAGAAGAAAACUACCUAACCCUACAGCAGCACAGGAUCAAAAUGAGGGAGGAUCAGUAUGUACUAAGUGAAACCGCAAGAGAACAUAACCGUCUCAUGCGAAUUGGAGAGAAAACUGAUGAUCUAAGUGCCAGCGUGCCAUGAAGUAUGAAUUUAUAUUGCUGCAUGUGCAAAAUGAAAUUUAUAAGUU